GUUAGGAAUAUUGGACAAUGGGCGAAAGCCUGAUCCAGCCAUGCCGCGUGAACGAUGAAGGCCUUCGGGUUGUAAAGUUCUUUAGCCGAUGAUUAUAAUGACUGUAGUCGGAAAAUAAGCUCCGGCUAACUUCGUGCCAGCAGCCGCGGUAAUACGAAGGGGGCGAGCGUUAUUCGGAAUCACUGGGCGUAAAGCGUGCGUAGGCGGUUUUGUAAGUUAGGAGUGAAAGCCCAGGGCUCAACCUUGGAAUUGCUCUUAAAACUGCAAGGCUCGAAUCUCGGAGAGGAUAGCGGAAUUUCCAGUGUAGCAGUGAAAUGCGUAGAUAUUGGAAGGAACACCAGUGGCGUACGCGGCUAUCUGGACGAGUAUUGACGCUGAGGCACGAAAGCGUGGGGAUCAAACAGGAUUAGAAACCCGAGUAGUCC
RNAcentral lists this ribosomal RNA (425 nucleotides) under uncultured bacterium. Its description in RNAcentral is "partial 16S ribosomal RNA". It matches the Rfam family "Bacterial small subunit ribosomal RNA", at positions 354 to 796 of the family's 1533-position model. The record is from RNAcentral.